Molecule: unclassified non-coding RNA, 353 nt
Filed under: soil metagenome
Description: partial contains 5.8S ribosomal RNA, internal transcribed spacer 2, and large subunit ribosomal RNA
Rfam family: 5.8S ribosomal RNA (bases 1-120)
Source: RNAcentral
GAUGAAGAACGCAGCGAAAUGCGAUAAGUAAUGUGAAUUGCAGAAUUCAGUGAAUCAUCGAAUCUUUGAACGCACAUUGCGCACGCCAGUAUUCUGGCGGGCAUGCCUGUUCGAGCGUCAUUACAACCCUCAGGCCCCCGGGCCUGGCGUUGGGGAUCGGCGGAAGCCCCCUGCGGGCACAACGCCGUCCCCCAAAUACAGUGGCGGUCCCGCCGCAGCUUCCAUUGCGUAGUAGCUAACACCUCGCAACUGGAGAGCGGCGCGGCCACGCCGUAAAACACCCAACUUCUGAAUGUUGACCUCGAAUCAGGUAGGAAUACCCGCUGAACUUAAGCAUAUCAAUAAGCGGAGGA